CAAGGGAAAAAAGGCCGGAACUUCGACGCAGGCUUGCCUGCAGGAGAAGUUUUGACCUUUUGGCCCGCCAAAAGCAUGAGUAAGUAGCCAUUUUUCGAAGAAAAAUGAGCGGAUUACGAAUGCUUUUGAAGGUUGCGGGAGCACGCAGUGCGGAGCAACCUGG
Molecule: small RNA, 163 nt
Filed under: human gut metagenome
Description: Clostridiales-1 RNA
Rfam family: Clostridiales-1 RNA
Source: RNAcentral